Molecule: long non-coding RNA, 216 nt
Filed under: Manihot esculenta (cassava)
Lineage: Eukaryota; Viridiplantae; Streptophyta; Magnoliopsida; Malpighiales; Euphorbiaceae
Description: long non-coding RNA (MESC_LNC008036)
Source: RNAcentral
CCACACACAUUGUUCAAAACAUCAACAUUAAUCCAUAACUCAACAUAUAACCUAACAUGCAUUUCUACCCAUAGAUCUUGCAUAAAACUUAUUUAAAACACAUAAGGAGCUUAAGAUCGGCUCUUACCUCUUGAAGAUUGAGAGGGAGACGACCUAAACUUGGAGAUCCACGAAAAUGAGCUCCUGAGUUCCCAAAGCUCCAAAACUUGGUUUAAA